Molecule: unclassified non-coding RNA, 331 nt
Organism: Ursus maritimus (polar bear)
Lineage: Eukaryota; Metazoa; Chordata; Mammalia; Carnivora; Ursidae
Gene: 7SK
Rfam family: 7SK RNA
About the family: 7SK was discovered as an abundant small nuclear RNA in the mid-70s but a possible function has only recently been suggested. Two independent studies have found that 7SK RNA binds the CDK9/cyclin T complex (known as elongation factor P-TEFb).
Source: Ensembl
AGAUUGGAGAGCAAUGGGACUGUGACAUCUGUCACCCCACUGAUGGCCAGGAUUGAUUCCACUGAUCUGGCUGCCUAGGCAGGUGUCCCCUUCCUUUCUCCUCAUUGUAUGUACAUCCCUCCCAAAGCUGUACACGCAGCUGAAGAUGACAACCUUCCCUCAUAAGAGGGGACCUCUCUUUGGUCAACAGCAUGCAAAUAGCUGUGCUCCCCUGCUGGAACCUCAAGACAAGCUCUCAAGCUCCAUUUGUAGGAAAAUGUAAGGGGACGUCAAGGGUCUCAGACUCCAGAAACAUCCAUCUGAGUUGCUGCAUGGGCAGUCUGCCUUUCUU